UACGGAGGGGGCUAGCGUUGUUCGGAAUUACUGGGCGUAAAGCGCACGUAGGCGGCUUUGUAAGUUAGAGGUGAAAGCCCAGGGCUUAACCCUGGAAUUGCCUUUAAGACUGCAUCGCUAGAAUCGUGGAGAGGUGAGUGGAAUUCCGGGUGUAGAGGUGAAAUUCGUAGAUAUUCGGAAGAACACCAGUGGCGAAGGCGACUCACUGGACACGUAUUGACGCUGAGGUGCGAAAGCGUGGGGAGCAAACAGG
Molecule: ribosomal RNA, 253 nt
Filed under: uncultured bacterium
Lineage: Bacteria
Description: partial 16S ribosomal RNA
Rfam family: Bacterial small subunit ribosomal RNA
Source: RNAcentral